GCAGAGAACGAGAGAGGAGCCACUUACCUGUAUCUCAAAACACUAUCUGGAUUGUGGGAGGCAGAGAAGGAGAGAGGAGCCACUUACCUGUAUCUCAAAACACUAUCUGGAUUGUGGGAGGCAGAGAACGAGAGAGGAGCCACUUACCUGUAUCUCAAAACACUAUCUGGAUUGUGGGAGGCAGAGAACGAGAGAGGAGCCACUUACCUGUAUCUCAAAACACUAUCUGGAUUGUGGGAGGCAGAGAACGAGAGAGGAGAGAGAGGAAUGGAGAGAGGGAUUAGAAGCUAAUCCAGGACACGGCCAAUCCCAGAGGAGCUCCUUUUCUUCCAAGACACAGACACAACAGUCGCACGGAUUACUGCACUUUAGUGUAUUGCCUUUUUUUUUAAAGAAGCAUUAUCCCUUUUGUAUAGUGUUUCAUUGUCCCUAAAUGCCUGGUGUCCCGGGCCUGUGGUAAAUGUGCUGAAUUCUACAACAAAGGAUAAAAGAGGACAACAGUCCCGGUGAGAGGGGAGCGAAGUGACAGGAUGUCCCAUGGACUGUCUGGUGCCACACGCAGAUAAAGCGCUUUAGUGGAGACGACAUGUGUGAACGGACCCCCUGCUCUUUCUGCUGGGUCUCAGAGGGACUGAAAGCUGAACACCCCUGUGGACUGUACAUUCAAGAUCAAACUUCUAUGAGUGAAUACUAAAACGACUGAGUGGCUAGUGAGUGACAGGUUGGAGAUAUUUUAGUUGUUGAUUACAGGGGAGAAUAAGGUGAGGUUGCUUUCAAAGCAGGAUUACAAAUUAGUUUCUGGAAAAACUUACUGUAUCUGAAGGGAAGAAGGACUUGAUUGAGGAGACUUGCGGCAGCCUAGAAACCUCUAUCAUUAACUGGAAGGAUCUGAGUUCAUGUGUGUAGGUGCAUUAGAGAAGAUUAUUAGCUGACAAUCAAAGGUGUCAGCCUAUUGAGUCACUCCUCAAUAAGCCAUAUCUAAAGUGACCUGGUUGGUGAGAGUUGUUGUCUUGGUGUUGUGUUGGUGUUGAAACCUGUAGUGGUGAGAAGAGAAAGCACUGGGUGAGAGUGAGGUGGUAAUAAAGGUUGUUUUAAAGCUGACAUAAUCCCAUUACAGUUCCUUAAAAAGUUAUUUAUAAUCUCCAACAACUUUAUUGGACAGAGCACACAGGGCCAAGCAGCUUAAACAUAACCACUUUCAGAUGUAUAACACAGCCUGACUCCUAUCCACUGUAUUGUGUACUGGAUGGUUUUCACAGAAAGGGGUCUCUAGGUAACACAGCCUGACUCCUAUCUACUGUAUUGUGUACUGGAUGGUUUUCACAGAAAGGGGUCUCUAGGUAACACAGCCUGACUCCUAUCCACUGUAUUGUGUACUGGAUGGUUUUCACAGAAAGGGGUCUCUAGGUAACACUGCUGGCUGUCCAGCUUUGACAAAAGAUAUUGGUGCUCAUUUUAAAGGUAGGUAUAGACUUCAGUUUGGACUGAUCCUAAAAAGACAAGAACAAGAAUAUUUUGUAAAGCCUCAUUGCUUAACUUUGAGAGGGAAGUUUAAGGACCUGUAUAUUUUUGUUGCUGAAGGGAAAGGUGCAUUUAAAUGACCUAAUUAUAGAAAUUGCUGUGCACAUCUAAGAUUGAUUUAGCUCUAGAAACGUUCACAGGUAUGAGCUUGCCAACAGAGAGAGCAUCAUAGUUAUAUUGUUAGUGUUCACAAGCAGAAACACAAGUUCAAAAUAACAGUCAGGCAAUACUCCAAUCCACAAAGAGUGAAAUGUAUUUUGUCUGAUGGACAGAAUAUGAGCAUCUCUUGGUAUUCUCUCACUCUUUCACUGCACAAAUACUGGAUGAGUUAUGUUUCACUGUCAGUAUAUAUUUGGAGCCGCAACUGGAUAUAUUUUCUGAACUGACAUUCAAAAACCCACCGUCUGGGAAAAGAACAGUGGAUCCCAAGCUCUCAGACCACAUAGGC
Oncorhynchus tshawytscha (Chinook salmon) is the source of this 1969-nucleotide long non-coding RNA. Lineage: Eukaryota; Metazoa; Chordata; Actinopteri; Salmoniformes; Salmonidae. The record is from Ensembl.